Molecule: long non-coding RNA, 1726 nt
Organism: Homo sapiens (human)
Lineage: Eukaryota; Metazoa; Chordata; Mammalia; Primates; Hominidae
Source: Ensembl
GUGGGCUGGAGGUGGGAAGGGUUGUGUGUGCAGGUGGUGGGUAGUGCCCCUGCCACACGUACAGAUCCAGGGCAUCUCCUCUGGACCCCUCCCAGGGACUGUAAAACUUUACUAUGGGAACAGACUCAGUAGUAUUUUGGGGCAGCGGGAAUGGUUCUUUACUAAUGCCUAAGAUCACUUAACAGGGCAGAAGCCAUAAUUGGGCAGACCUUACGGGCCAAGAAUCUUUUGCACUUUAUCUGAUUUAAUCUGCACCCUGUGAGGUAGGUGGCAUUACCCGCUUUCAUGUGUUAGGAAAUGUGUGUAAAGAUCAGUAACUUGCCCAGGGUCACCCAACUAGUAGCUAAAGUGGCUAAAGUCCCAGGUCUGUCACUCUAACCACCCAGAGUGGCCUUACCCUGUACAUUCUCACCCUGUACAUUCUCACCCUUACCCUGUACAUUCUCACCCUGCUGCCCCUCUGAAAUAGUCACUGCUGGCUUCCCUAGCUGAGGACACUGGGCACAAAGGCUGGGCUUCUGGAUUGCAAGUCUGUGCUUGCAGCCUGAGGCCCACUCUAAGGGAAGGCAGAUGGCCUGCCUCUCCUUUCUGCAAAACCCCCUGCCACCUGCUGCGUGCUGCCAGCCUGACUCACUGACUCCAGCUACCUCUGGGCCUCUGGCCCUUCUAGGAUGGGCUUGUUUUCCAGGAAAGGGUUUGGAGAUUAAGAUAAGCCAGCUGCCUCCAGUGAAAGGCCCUGCUGCCUUGGAAAGGGCCGGGAAGGCUGCCAUUCCAGCUCCUUGGUUUGCUCGCUUCUCUCCGUGGCUGGGGCUGCCUCGCCUUUCAUCCGUCCCUGCCUAUCGUUGGGCAUGAAUAAUGAGGCUCUUUGGAGACAGGCAUAGGACUCCCUGCAGAGCGAGGGAUUUGUAAAAUGGGUGCCCAAGCUCCCUCUGGGGCUCCGGCUCCCUCAUGUCUCUGUCUGUUCUUCCUGGGGAAGCUGCUGCUUGUAUUUAGAUAAUGAAGAACUAGAAAACAGACCUGGCCUCCUUUCAACCUGCCGCUUCCUCCAGCCUGGGUAGGAUCCAAAGCUCUGGCCUUCCUAAGCAGUGCUUGUUCCUGACUUACACAUGGAUGGUUUUCUAAACUAAGUUCAUUUUCUGAAGCAGAGAAUGAAUAACUCACUCUACUACCUCCUCCCCUUCAUGGCAAAAUUUUUUCUUUUGUCUGUAUUUUCACGGCUGCUGGAUUCUAAAAUCAAGGUGCAAGUUGCUUUGGGGCUUACUAAAGUCCCGUGGCCUUCCCAGGCCCUGUGGAAAGGUUAGAUGCACCCCAGAUAACCAGGGUUGGUUAUUCCCUGUGAGAGAGUCAGAGGGGUGCAGGCUGGAAGCAUAGCGCUCCUCCACCCCUGCGCUGGUCAUCAUGUGGAGCGUGUGCUUUCUAAGAAGUGCCAGCCUGUGUCCAGAGCCUGCUGGGCAGAUGUUAAGCCAGCUGUGGACUUAGUCACAGUGACUCUGCUACCAACAACAGCAACAUGGACAUUUAGGGAGGAGCAAAUGAGAGGAAGGAAGAAAUAGGCAAGAUAACAAGGCUUGACAUCUGAUCUCUGGGCAUUUCCAAUGGAGGGAUUUGGUUUGUUUAUGUUUCCACCACCAAGAAUUAACAGUGGUUAACAGCUGUUCAUAUCUGUCUGCUUUACAUUUUUAAAUAAACAUUACAGAUAAAAUUGAAGUUCUCUUUUUGUCCCUCA